This is a long non-coding RNA of Lytechinus pictus (painted urchin), 1281 nucleotides long. RefSeq lists it as uncharacterized. The record is from RefSeq and is a predicted model, not a curated record. NCBI's taxonomy places the organism in Eukaryota, Metazoa, Echinodermata, Echinoidea, Temnopleuroida, Toxopneustidae. The transcript is spliced from 3 exons.
AGACUAGCCGAAAAAGCAAAAUAUUGGCUUGCAACAAUCUUCAACCUGGAGGAGAUUAUGAUGACAAAGAAGUCUGGAAUAAACAAGAAACCUCCGAACCACCAUAACUGUGUCUGCUACAAUGUGUGUUCUUGCAACCAGCUGAUUGAUUCAUUUUAUCAACUCUCAAAUGGUUGAUUAUCAGAACUGAAUUCAGAGCUGCUCCUGUCUGUAGUAACAUCUUAUUAGAGUGGACUUCAGAAUGAGGGUGUUGCUGGUUUAAAAACUUCACUCCAUGGAGCUCUCCAAUUUCAUCUCAAAUUAGACUGCUUCUGGAAACCAGAUUUGUUCCUUCAAGCAGAGAUGCUUGUGGCUUUCCUGACUGGACUCCUAUGGAUUCUUCUUGCCAACAUUAAGGACUGUGGGCUGACAUUCAGUGGUAAAACACUUGAUGAAGAUGAUAUGAAUUUUUAUUUGAUAUGAAUGAAUCUCAGAAGUAAUUCCUCAGGAGUAAGAAACAAUGAAAAUUAAAAAUAAAAGGUCCAUCAAUAAUGAAUGUCUUGAGCAGUGUUCUUUUUGUGCACAGAUCAAUGGAUCUUUUCAUUUCCAAGCAGGGAUGUAGUCAAUGCUGACCUCGAGACAACAUUUUGCUGGCCUUGGUCCGAAUCACUGUACAGAAUCUAUGGGAAAUUCUCUCAAGCUGCCUCAUGACUCGGAAGAAUCAGCCUCGACCUCAUCCCUGUAUGCAAGUGUGAUAUAUAUCUACCAUGCAAUCUCAUGAUUAAAGAGAGAGAAACAAGAGAGUUUCAGAUUUUGAAGUGUAGCUCCUGAAAUGUAUGUUUUAUUUGAAAAUCAAACUAAAAUAACUUAAUUGGGCAUGUUAUUCAUUAUGAUAUGUAUGAAUGAAAGCAUUUCAGAAGCAAUUUGGUGCUCUUGCAAAACAAAUUCUGAGUUGUAUUUACUGCAAACCCUCAGAAAUAUUGAUAAGCAUUUGCCAGUGCAUGAAGUGUUUUAAUGAAGAGUGGCUUUUUUUUAACUAUGGAUAGUUAUUAUUUCUUCAAUAUUUUUUCAUACAAAUUAUUUCAGAAAUCACAAUUUGAAUAUUCCAAGAUGACAAGAGCAGAAUAUUUUUGGUGAUUGACACACUUUAAAAUGAUAUUAGGAGAGAAUGUAGUGAAAUUGUGUGAAAAUAAUGGCAUAUUUGCUGAAGAGGCCUUUAAAGAUUGAAAAUAACAUUAUUUCAAGCUUUUCUUGAAAAAAACCCAUGGAAAAUUGAAAAUGGCAUAAUUUACACAAGUUUUC